This 427-nucleotide ribosomal RNA is filed under the name uncultured bacterium. RNAcentral describes it as "bacterial SSU rRNA". It matches the Rfam family "Bacterial small subunit ribosomal RNA", at positions 355 to 774 of the family's 1533-position model. The record is from RNAcentral.
UGGGGAAUUUUGGACAAUGGGCGCAAGCCUGAUCCAGCAAUGCCGCGUGCAGGAUGAAGGCCUUCGGGUUGUAAACUGCUUUUGUACGGAACGAAACGGCUCUGUCUAAUACAUGGGGCUAAUGACGGUACCUGAAGAAUAAGCACCGGCUAACUACGUGCCAGCAGCCGCGGUAAUACGUAGGGUGCAAGCGUUAAUCGGAAUUACUGGGCGUAAAGCGUGCGCAGGCGGUUAUGCAAGACAGAUGUGAAAUCCCCGGGCUCGACCUGGGAACUGCAUUUGUGACUGCAUAGCUGGAGUGCGGCAGAGGGGGAUGGAAUUCCGCGUGUAGCAGUGAAAUGCGUAGAUAUGCGGAGGAACGCCGAUGGCGAAGGCAAUCCCCUGGGCCUGCACUGACACUCAUGCACGAAAGCGUGGGGAGCAAACA